AUGGUGAUCACAUCAUCCGUGGAGGACAAGACUGCGCCCCCUUCUAGGAUGGUCCAAUCAGAAACCUGGGUCUCCUCUGCCCUGUUGCGCAAAAACAAGAGUGUAAGCAGCUCAGGAUGUCCACCCACCUCCUCCUCCUCCUCCUACUCCUCCUCCUCCUCCUACUCCUCCUCCUCCUCCUCCACUGCCCAGGGCUUCUCCCUCGCUGAGCCAGCCAUGACCAGCCAGCACACACAUACACAUCCCUCCUUCAGCUCCAUCCACUCCAUGGCCGAGCAGCAGCAGGUAACACUCACAGCAGCCUCUCGGCUGCUUCUAAGAUACCUUUUAUUUCAUUAAUCCCGCGUUUAUAAAUAGAAACACUCAUGAUUCACGUGUCAGUCAAGUGUAAGUGAGUCCAGAGACGAAG
Molecule: long non-coding RNA, 409 nt
Filed under: Takifugu rubripes (torafugu)
Lineage: Eukaryota; Metazoa; Chordata; Actinopteri; Tetraodontiformes; Tetraodontidae
Description: lncRNA (ENSTRUG00000003911.3)
Source: RNAcentral